UCCGCCCCGUCACGUGCGCUCCCGUCAUGCCCCGCAAGCUGCCGUUCAGCGCCAAGCGGAAAAAGCAACAGCUCCGGGACCGGAGGGAGCGGAAACGGGGCGAUGCCCCGGCCGGUCCAGCCUCGGGCCCCGGCAGCCGCAGCGGGAGCCGCGAGCGGGGCGGCGAUGGCCCCCCCGGAGACCCCCCCUCAGAGCCCCCCCGGCGCCACGACCCCGGCAGGUUCCGGCUGCAGCUGGGGGGGCCCCGGGCCGAGGCCCUGGAGCGGAGCCGGCGCCGGGCCCAGGAGGAGCUGCUGGAGCCGCUGCCCGAGAGCGCCCUGGAGCUGGAGCCCGACAGCGUCUACGGGACCGGGCUGGGGUUCCCGCGGCGCCCGGCCUGGAGUUUCGGGAUGAGCGCGGAGGAGCUGCGGCGCCGGGAGGAGGCGGCGUUUGGGGACUUCCUGAGGGACAUCGGGGACAUUGGGGACAGCGCGGGGGACAGCGCCGGGGACAGCCGGGGGCUGGCGCCCUUCGAGCACAACCUGGAGACGUGGCGGCAGCUGUGGCGGGUGCUGGACAUGUCGGACAUCGUGCUGCUGAUCGCCGACGCGCGGCACCCCGCCCUGGGCAUCCCGCCCUCGCUGUGCUCCCACAUCACGCAGGACCUGGCCAAGGGUCUCAUCCUCAUCCUCAACAAGGUGGAUCUGACCCCGCCCGCGGUGGCCACGGCCUGGAGCCACCUCCUGAGGGCGCGGUACGGCCCGGCCAGGGUGGUCCCGUUCAGCACCAACCCCGGAGCACCCCCAGCCCCGGGGCUGCAGAAGAGGCAGAAGAAGAGGGGGGGGCGCUGGAGCCGCGCUGUGGGACCCCGACUGCUGCUGGAGGCCUGCGAGGAGAUCGUGGGGGGGGCAGUUGACCUCAGCAGCUGGCGGGCGCGGCUGGAGCGGGCGGAGCAGCGCCCCGAGGAUGAGGAGGAUGAUGAAGAUGAGGAGGAGGAGCCGCCGGGAGGGGAGGAAGAGGAGGAGGAGGAAGGGGCGGGGCCUGGGGGCGUGGCCCCGCCCCGGCAGUGGGAGCGCUACCGGCACGGCGUGCUGACCCUGGGCUGCGUGGGGCUGCCCAACGCCGGUAAAUCGUCGGUGCUGAACGCGGUGCUGGGCCGCAGCGCGGUGGGCGUGUCCCGCGCCCCCGGCCGCACCCGCUACUUCCAGACGCAUUUCCUGACGGCCACGGUGCGGCUCUGCGACUGCCCCGGCCUGGUGUUCCCCUCCAGGGCCCCCCCCGAGCUCCAGGUCCUGGCAGGGGUGUACCCCAUUGCCCAGCUGCAGGACCCCUACUCGGCCGUGGGGUUUUUGGGGUCCCGCCUGGCCCUGCCCCCGCUGCUGCAGCUGCGCCCCCCCAGCGGCCCCGGCUGGACGGCCUGGGAGCUCUGCGAAGCCUGGGCAGAGCAGAGGGGUUACAAAACGGCGAGGGCGGCUCGGAACGACGUGGCCAGGGCGGCCAACGGGCUCCUGAGGAUGGCGGCCGAGGGGAGGAUCCGGCUGUGCAUGAGACCCCCGGGGUAUUCACUGCAAAAAGGUACCAAAAAUAUCCAAAAUUGGGGAUUUGGGGCAGUUUUGGGUGAAUUUGGGGGCUCCUGAGGAUGGCGGCCGAGGGGAGGAUCCGGCUGUGCAUGAGACCCCCGGGGUAUUCACUGCAAAAAGGUACCAAAAAUAUCCAAAAUUGGGGAUUUGGGGCAGUUUUGGGUGAAUUUGGGGGCUCCUGAGGAUGGCGGCCGAGGGCAGGAUCAGGCUGUGCAUGAGGCCACCGGGGUAUUCACUGCAAAAAGAGCACUGGGAGCUCCACCCCGACACCGCGGCCAUGGCGGCCAUGACAGGGGGCGGGGCCAGUGCCCCUCCCCCGCCCAGCGCCGCCUCCAGCUCCGAGGACGACGAGGGGGAGGAGCCAGAGGAGG
Molecule: RNA transcript, 1930 nt
Organism: Zonotrichia leucophrys gambelii
Lineage: Eukaryota; Metazoa; Chordata; Aves; Passeriformes; Passerellidae
Gene: GNL1
Gene name: G protein nucleolar 1 (putative)
Exons: 12
Source: RefSeq, a predicted model, not a curated record